AGCACGCCGCGUGUAGUGAUAGAAGGGUUUCGGCAUCGUAAAACACUGUUGUAAGAGAAGAAUGACAUGUGAGAGUAACUGUUCAAUGUGUGACGGUAUCUUACCCAAAAGGAACGGGUAAAUACCUGCCAGCCGCCGCGGUAAUACCUAUGUUCCAAGCGUUAUCCGGAUUUAUUGGGCGUAAAGCGAGCGCCAACGGUUAUUUAAGUCUGAAGUGAAAGCCCUCAGCUUAACUGAUGAAUUGCUUUGGAAACUGGAUGACUUGAGUGCAGAAGAGGAAAGUGGAACUCCAUGUGUAGCGGUGAAAUGCGUAGAUAUAUGGAAGAA
RNAcentral lists this ribosomal RNA (327 nucleotides) under uncultured bacterium. RNAcentral's name for it is "bacterial SSU rRNA". It matches the Rfam family "Bacterial small subunit ribosomal RNA", at positions 390 to 706 of the family's 1533-position model. The record is from RNAcentral.